Mugil cephalus (flathead mullet) is the source of this 592-nucleotide long non-coding RNA. RefSeq lists it as uncharacterized. The transcript is spliced from 2 exons. The record is from RefSeq and is a predicted model, not a curated record. NCBI's taxonomy places the organism in Eukaryota, Metazoa, Chordata, Actinopteri, Mugiliformes, Mugilidae.
AGAGGGUGUUAUUAUUCAAGAGUGCUGCAGUCAGAAGGGCUGCAAGAGGAAAACGGAGAAGGAGGUGGGAAAUCAGUCAAUCAGAGGCUUGUGCGGUUCACGUUUUUUCCACUCCACUUGUGUUUUCGCAGGAGGGAACGCAGCAAAGAGGGGAGAGAAGAUGUGGGGAUGGAUGGAGCGGAUGAGAGGAGGAAGAUGGAGAGGAGAAAAGCGCAGGAUGAGCCCGGGGCUGAGUGGAGUGGCAGCGUGGCGCAGUCCUCGAGCGCCCAGCUGACAGGGGAAUCGGACCUGAAACCUGACAGUGUUUCGGCCUCACCGGAAGCCUCGCCUCUGGUUUCCUCUUGCAACAGGUGCCGGAGCCAAAGAGACGCGCGAAUAAAACCAGGCUGCGGAAAGGGAAGACGGGGAAGAAAGUGUGGAUUGCGCAGCUGGACUGGAUGCGUUUAACUUUUGAUGCUUACGGUGACGGGGAUGAUGAGGAUGAUGAUGAUGAAGAUAAAGCAGUGGGUGUGGGUGCAGAAUCCCCCUGUGUGUUUAAAACGGUGUCCGUCACGACUCAAAAUAAAAGAGACCACGAGUGUUUGAUAUUGUC